GCAGUCGAGCGGACAGAAGGGAGCUUGCUCCCGGAUGUUAGCGGCGGACGGGUGAGUAACACGUGGGUAACCUGCCUGUAAGACUGGGAUAACUCCGGGAAACCGGAGCUAAUACCGGAUAGUUCCUUGAACCGCAUGGUUCAAGGAUGAAAGACGGUUUCGGCUGUCACUUACAGAUGGACCCGCGGCGCAUUAGCUAGUUGGUGAGGUAACGGCUCACCAAGGCGACGAUGCGUAGCCGACCUGAGAGGGUGAUCGGCCACACUGGGACUGAGACACGGCCCAGACUCCUACGGGAGGCAGCAGUAGGGAAUCUUCCGCAAUGGACGAAAGUCUGACGGAGCAACGCCGCGUGAGUGAUGAAGGUUUUCGGAUCGUAAAGCUCUGUUGUUAGGGAAGAACAAGUGCAAGAGUAACUGCUUGCACCUUGACGGUACCUAACCAGAAAGCCACGGCUAACUACGUGCCAGCAGCCGCGGUAAUACGUAGGUGGCAAGCGUUGUCCGGAAUUAUUGGGCGUAAAGGGCUCGCAGGCGGUUUCUUAAGUCUGAUGUGAAAGCCCCCGGCUCAACCGGGGAGGGUCAUUGGAAACUGGGAAACUUGAGUGCAGAAGAGGAGAGUGGAAUUCCACGUGUAGCGGUGAAAUGCGUA
RNAcentral lists this ribosomal RNA (651 nucleotides) under Bacillus aerophilus. RNAcentral's name for it is "bacterial SSU rRNA". It matches the Rfam family "Bacterial small subunit ribosomal RNA", at positions 57 to 692 of the family's 1533-position model. Lineage: Bacteria; Bacillati; Bacillota; Bacilli; Caryophanales; Bacillaceae. The record is from RNAcentral.